RNAcentral lists this unclassified non-coding RNA (299 nucleotides) under plant metagenome. RNAcentral's name for it is "partial contains 5.8S ribosomal RNA, internal transcribed spacer 2, and large subunit ribosomal RNA". The stretch from base 1 to 105 matches the Rfam family "5.8S ribosomal RNA", at positions 50 to 154 of the family's 154-position model. The record is from RNAcentral.
GAAAUGCGAUAAGUAAUGUGAAUUGCAGAAUUCAGUGAAUCAUCGAACCUUUGAACGCACAUUGCGCUCGCCAGUAUUCUGGCGAGCAUGCCUGUUCGAGCGUCAUUUCAACCAUCAAGCUCUGCUUGCGUUGGGGAUCCGCGGCUGCCCGCGGUCCCUCAAAAACAGUGGCGGGCUCGCUAGUCACACCGAGCGUAGUAACUCUACAUCGCUAUGGUCGUGCGGCGGGUUCUUGCCGUAAAACCCCCAAUUUCUAAGGUUGACCUCGGAUCAGGUAGGAAUACCUGCUGAACUUAAGC